UAGCCUCCGUCCUGAGAAGGAUUGGCAA
This 28-nucleotide small RNA is filed under the name Bombyx mori (domestic silkworm). Its description in RNAcentral is "ovarian small RNA-22394". Lineage: Eukaryota; Metazoa; Arthropoda; Insecta; Lepidoptera; Bombycidae. The record is from RNAcentral.